GACGAACGCUGGCGGCGUGCUUAACACAUGCAAGUCGAACGGAAAGGCCCCUUCGGGGGUCCUCGAGUGGCGAACGGGUGAGUAACACGUGAGUAACCUGCCCUUGACUUCGGGAUAACUUCCGGAAACUGGGGCUAAUACCGGCUAGGAAUCCUUGCUGCAUGGUGGGGGUUGGAAAGCUUCGGCGGUUUUGGAUGGACUCGCGGCUUAUCAGCUUGUUGGUGGGGUAGUGGCUUACCAAGGCUUUGACGGGUAGCCGGCCUGAGAGGGCGACCGGCCACAGUGGGACUGGGAUACGGGCCAGGAGCCUACGGGAGGCAGGAGGGGGGGAUAGUGGACAAAGGGGGGGAGCCUGAUGCAGCAAAGCCGGGGGCGGGAUGACGGGCUUCGGGUUGGAAACCGCUUUCAGCAGGGGCGAAGCUUGUGGUGACGGUACCGGCAGAAGAAGCACCGGCUAACUACGUG
RNAcentral lists this ribosomal RNA (465 nucleotides) under uncultured bacterium. RNAcentral's name for it is "partial 16S ribosomal RNA". It matches the Rfam family "Bacterial small subunit ribosomal RNA", at positions 28 to 507 of the family's 1533-position model. The record is from RNAcentral.